CAGUCGCCGCGGUAAGACAGAGGAUGCAAGCGUUAUCCGGAAUGAUUGGGCGUAAAGCGUCUGUAGGUGGCUUUUCAAGUCCGCCGUCAAAUCCCAGGGCUCAACCCUGGACAGGCGGUAGAAAAUACCAAGCUGGAGUACGGUAGGGGUAGAGGGAAUUUCCGGUGGAGCGGUGAAAUGCGUUGAGAUCGGAAAGAACACCAACGGUGAAAGCACUCUGCUGGGCCGACACUGACACUGAGAGACGAAAGCUAGGGGAGCAAAUGGGAUUAGAUACCCCUGUAGUCCCUGUCUCUUAUAC
RNAcentral lists this ribosomal RNA (301 nucleotides) under uncultured bacterium. RNAcentral's name for it is "partial 16S ribosomal RNA". It matches the Rfam family "Bacterial small subunit ribosomal RNA", at positions 509 to 807 of the family's 1533-position model. The record is from RNAcentral.